CCUACGGGAGGCAGCAGUGAGGAAUAUUGGUCAAUGGGCGGGAGCCUGAACCAGCCAAGCCGCGUGAGGGAAGAAGGUACAGCGUAUCGUAAACCUCUUUUGUCAGGGAACAAAGGCGGGGACUAGUCCCCGGAUGAGGGUACCUGAAGAAAAAGCAUCGGCUAACUCCGUGCCAGCAGCCGCGGUAAUACGGAGGAUGCGAGCGUUAUCCGGAUUUAUGGGGGUCAAAGGGUGCGCAGGCGGCCUGUUAAGUCAGCGGUAAAAGCCCGGGGCUCAACCCCGGCGAGCCGUUGAAACUGGCGGGCUGGAGUUGGAGAGAGGUACGCGGAAUGCGCGGUGUAGCGGUGAAAUGCUUAGAUAUCGCGCAGAACCCCGAUUGCGAAGGCAGCGUACCGGCUCCACACUGACGCUGAGGCACGAAAGCGUGGGUAUCGAACAGGAUUAGAUACCCCAGUAGUC
This 459-nucleotide ribosomal RNA is filed under the name uncultured bacterium. Its description in RNAcentral is "partial 16S ribosomal RNA". It matches the Rfam family "Bacterial small subunit ribosomal RNA", at positions 338 to 795 of the family's 1533-position model. The record is from RNAcentral.